AGAGUUUGAUCCUGGCUCAGGACGAACGCUGGCGGUGUGCCUAAGAUAUGCAAGUCGAACGAUCCUUGCUGACUGAUUCCUUCGGGAUGAAGAAGGCGCUUGGGAUAGUGGCAAACGGGUGAGUAACACGUAGGAAUUUACCUCUGGGUGGGGAAUAACUCCGCGAAAGCGGAGCUAAUACCGCAUAGUCUCGCAAGAGUAAAGCUUUUGCGCCGAGAGAUAAGCCUGCGUCCUAUCAGCUAGUUGGUGGGGUAAAGGCCUACCAAGGCGACGAUCAGUAGUUGGUCUGAGAGGACGACCAGCCACACUGGGACUGAGACACGGCCCAGACUCCUACGGGAGGCAGCAGUGGGGAAUUUUGGACAAUGGGCGCAAGCCUGAUCCAGCAAUGCCGCGUGAGUGAAGAAGGCCUUCGGGUUGUAAAGCUCUUUCAGUCGAGAAGAAAAAGCUGCAGUGAAUAACUGUAGUUCAUGACG
Molecule: ribosomal RNA, 476 nt
Filed under: uncultured bacterium
Lineage: Bacteria
Description: bacterial SSU rRNA
Rfam family: Bacterial small subunit ribosomal RNA
Source: RNAcentral